UGCCCCAUGGCUAAGUUGGUUUACAGCAUCUAACUGUUGCGAAUUACUUAAAAUUGGGAACUCGAGAGUUCGAAUGUCUAUGGGGUGG
Rhodocollybia butyracea is the source of this 88-nucleotide non-coding RNA. The record is from the annotation of a GenBank genome assembly. Lineage: Eukaryota; Fungi; Basidiomycota; Agaricomycetes; Agaricales; Omphalotaceae.